UUUAUCUGAACCUAGGGUUUGUACAAAGUUGUUUUAAUAUGUGUGUUUGAUUUGUUGAUUUCAAUUUGCCCUCCAACUUGUGAUUCAUGAUUCCUGGUGCCUGUUUUCUUGUGAAUUACCUGAUCAAUAAUUUACAUGUCUAGCUGUUCAGUUUGAGUCUUGAAUGCGAUAAUUGUUCAGCCGAUUCAGGAAUGCAUGAUAUAGUGUUAGCCUUGAGUCUUGAAUGCGACAG
Molecule: long non-coding RNA, 232 nt
Filed under: Salvia miltiorrhiza (redroot sage)
Lineage: Eukaryota; Viridiplantae; Streptophyta; Magnoliopsida; Lamiales; Lamiaceae
Description: long non-coding RNA (SMIL_LNC002115)
Source: RNAcentral